RNAcentral lists this ribosomal RNA (393 nucleotides) under uncultured Psychrilyobacter sp. RNAcentral describes it as "bacterial SSU rRNA". It matches the Rfam family "Bacterial small subunit ribosomal RNA", at positions 76 to 482 of the family's 1533-position model. Lineage: Bacteria; Fusobacteriati; Fusobacteriota; Fusobacteriia; Fusobacteriales; Fusobacteriaceae. The record is from RNAcentral.
UUCUUCGGAAGAUAGUACGGUGGCGGACGGGUGAGUAACGCGUAAAGAAUUUGCCCUUCAGACUGGGACAACUAAUCGAAAGGUUAGCUAAUACCGGAUAUUAUGAGACCUUGGCAUCAAGGACUUAUGAAAGCUAUAUGCGCUGAAGGAGAACUUUGCGUUCCAUUAGGUAGUUGGUAGGGUAAUGGCCUACCAAGCCGACGAUGGAUAGCCGGCCUGAGAGGGUGAACGGCCACAAGGGGACUGAGACACGGCCCUUACUCCUACGGGAGGCAGCAGUGGGGAAUAUUGGACAAUGGACCAAAAGUCUGAUCCAGCAAUUCUGUGUGCACGAUGAAGGUCUUCGGAUUGUAAAGUGCUUUCAGGUGGGAAGAAAGAAGUGACGGUACCACC